Molecule: long non-coding RNA, 219 nt
Organism: Asparagus officinalis (garden asparagus)
Lineage: Eukaryota; Viridiplantae; Streptophyta; Magnoliopsida; Asparagales; Asparagaceae
Exons: 3
Source: RefSeq, a predicted model, not a curated record
GCGUGGAAUUUAGAAGGCGUGUAGACAAUGAAGAGUAGAAGAGGAAAGCACAUGGAGAGCCCUUUUGGCCCUCCACUGUAAUGAGGAAGUGGCUCAACAUUAAGCCUAAGGUGCAUGAGUUCAGCGAAGAUGAAGCUGACACAGAGAGCGAGGAUGAAGACACAAGCAAUAAUAUAGCUGAGAUGUCCUUUACAACAGCGGGGAGUCAAGUUACAUACA